This 492-nucleotide ribosomal RNA is filed under the name uncultured bacterium. RNAcentral's name for it is "partial 16S ribosomal RNA". It matches the Rfam family "Bacterial small subunit ribosomal RNA", at positions 29 to 507 of the family's 1533-position model. The record is from RNAcentral.
AGUGAACGCUGGCGGUAGGCUUAACACAUGCAAGUCGAACGGCAGCACAGUAAGAUCUUGCUCUUACGGGUGGCGAGUGGCGGACGGGUGAGGAAUACAUCGGAAUCUACUUUUUCGUGGGGGAUCACGUAGGGAAACUUAAGCUAAUACCGCAUACGACCUACGGGUGAUAGCAGGGGAUCUUCGGACCUUGCGCGAUUGAAUGAGCCGAUGUUGGAUUAGCUAGUUGGCGGGGUAAAGGCCCACCAAGGCGAGGGUCCGUAGCUGGUCUGAGAGGAUGGUAAGCCGCAUUGGAACGUGGCCACGGACCAGAGUACUGCGGGAGGCACCAGUGUGCAACAGUGGACAAUGGGGGGAAGCAUUGCCCAGCCAUACCGCGUGUGUGAAGAAGGCCUUCGGUUUGUAAAGACCUUUUGUUGGGAGUGAAAAGCAGCAGGUUAAUACCCCGCUGUUCUGACGGUACCCAAAGAAUAAGCACCGGCUAACUUCGUG